AUUUAGAGGAAGGAGAAGUCGUAACAAGGUUUCCGUAGGUGAACCUGCGGAAGGAUCAUUGUCGAAACCUGCCCAGCAGAACGACCCGCGAACGCGUUUGUUUAUCCUCUUCCGUCGGGGAUGGGGCUCCGUCCCCGUCCCGGACGAACAACGAACCCCCCGGCGCGGAACGCGCCAAGGAAUACCCCAACGAGACGGCCAGCCGCCCGCGCUCCGUUCGCGGCCCGCGCGGGGGGCGUCGGCGUCUUACUUAACAAAAAACGACUCUCGGCAACGGAUAUCUCGGCUCUCGCAUCGAUGAAGAACGUAGCGAAAUGCGAUACUUGGUGUGAAUUGCAGAAUCCCGUGAACCACCGAGUCUUUGAACGCAAGUUGCGCCCGAAGCCGUGAGGCCGAGGGCACGUCUGCCUGGGCGUCACGCAUCGCGUCGCCCCCCCUCAGCGACCCCGCGUCGUUUUGGGAGGGGGAGCGGACGAUGGCCUCCCGUGCCCCUGCCCGGGGCGCGGCUGGCCCAAACGCGAGUCCCCGGCGACGGACGUCACGGCGAGUGGUGGUCGUACCCAGCGUGCAUAUCGUCGCGCCGUGCCCGUCGCCCGCGGGCUACAGGCCCUGCCGGGCCGCUCCGAGCGGCCCUCCGACCGCGACCCCAGGUCAGGCGGGACUACCCGCUGAGUUUA
RNAcentral lists this ribosomal RNA (677 nucleotides) under Erycibe obtusifolia. RNAcentral's name for it is "eukaryotic LSU rRNA". The stretch from base 263 to 418 matches the Rfam family "5.8S ribosomal RNA". Lineage: Eukaryota; Viridiplantae; Streptophyta; Magnoliopsida; Solanales; Convolvulaceae. The record is from RNAcentral.